Schistocerca nitens (vagrant locust) is the source of this 2791-nucleotide RNA transcript. It is a transcript of the gene named 3-phosphoinositide-dependent protein kinase 1-like, with no coding region annotated. Lineage: Eukaryota; Metazoa; Arthropoda; Insecta; Orthoptera; Acrididae. The transcript has 9 exons. The record is from RefSeq and is a predicted model, not a curated record.
CGCCACGCGCAGUCUCGCGUUGGCAGCAGGCGAGAGCGGACAGCGACUCGUGGGGGUGAGAGGUUCGCGUCUGGCUCGCCGCUGCUCCGCUGUGACUGGAGUGGUCUGUACGCUACGUUAUUGUGCACCGCGCUAGCCUAGCCGUCAUCGGGACACCACCAUGAGUCCGGACGGGAGGACGCGCACCAAGCACCAGCCCAGGGGGAUAGUGUCGGCCAUCACGAGGUUCCUUAAGAUCGGCACCAUGGCCAAGAGGAAGAGAGUGGCGACUGCAAACCCAGGAGCCAUGCCCCCAGUGAGCGUGUCAGUGGCAGUACCGGUGGCAGUCGGGGGUGGCGGAGGCGGUGGUGGCAGGGUGCCCCUACAGGAGCCUCCGGCUGCAGCCUCACCGCCACAAGGGCAGGGCAAUGCUGUCCCCACCGUCAAGCGCACGCCCAAUGAUUUCAUCUUUGGCAAGGCAAUUGGCGAGGGUAGCUUCUCGACCGUCUACCUCGCCAAGGAUAUCCACACCGGCAACGAGUAUGCCAUAAAAGUUUGCGAGAAGCGUCACAUAAUCCGUGAGAAGAAGACGGAGUAUGUUCAGCGAGAGAAGGAAGUGCUUCACAUCUUGAGCUGCAACAAGAAGACCUCUGCUCCAUUUUUCACCAAAUUGUACUGCACCUUCCAGGAUGUGGAACGGCUCUAUUUUGUGCUAACAUAUGCGAAGAAUGGUGAAUUGCUACCGCAUAUAAACAAAGUUGGUUCAUUCGAUAUUGCGUGUACGAGAUUCUACGCUGCUGAGAUUUUGCACGCUUUGGAACACCUGCACAGUUUGGGCAUUAUCCACAGAGACCUAAAGCCAGAAAACAUUCUUCUGGAUGAAAGAAUGCAUAUCCUCAUUGCAGAUUUUGGCUCUGCCAAGAUUGUUAAUCGGAAGGAAGUGGAAGAUCAAAACAAGGAUAACCCUAACUUCCGUCGCCGCAACAGUUUUGUGGGCACAGCGCAGUAUGUCUCACCUGAGCUGUUGACUGACAAGUCGGCCUCCUACAGUUCGGAUCUCUGGGCCCUUGGUUGCAUCAUAUACCAGAUGGUGGCUGGACUCCCGCCUUUCCGAUCAAUGAGCGAGCACCUUAUAUUCCAGAAGAUCGUGAAGCUGGAGUAUGUGUUCCCAGAUGGUUUCAGUGCUCCAGCCAGAGACCUGGUGGAGAAGCUACUGGUUCUCGAUCCUGUGCAACGGUUAGGGGCUCGUGACAGGCCUGAGGAUGGGCACGGGUACCCUUCAUUGAGAGCACAUCCGUUCUUCAAGGGAAUUUCUUUUGAAUCGCUGUAUCUGCAAACACCUCCGCAAAUCUACCCCUACCUGCCGGGAACGUCAGAGCACGAGGAAAUGCGGAGCCACUACAGAGUGCCAGACCACUUGGAGCCUGGGCUGGACGAUCGACAGCUGACGCGGCUUCUCGGCCUCGACCUGAGUGGCGCGGUGGAGCCCGUGGCGGAGAGCCCUGCGGAAGACGGGAGAGAGUCGCAGACUGAGCAGGAGGGCCGGCCGCAGGACGUGCCUGCGGAGCAGCAGCAGCAGCAGCAGCAGCAGCGGCGGAAGCGCGCCGUCACGGACCUGUCCCUGGCAGAGGUGCACCGCCGAACGGACCUGCAGGCGAAGGAGAGCAAGUGGCACAAUCUGGUGCAGGGGAACCUCAUCCUCAAGCAGGGGCUCGUCGAUAAGAGGAAGGUGCUGACUGCUCCGAUUCCAUUUGUGCCCGCUGUUAACAGGGGCUGUUCGCGCGGAGGCGGAUGUUGCUGCUGACUCUCGGACCUCACUUGUACUAUGUGGACCCAGUCAACAUGGUCCUCAGGGGUGAAAUUCCCUGGAGCCCUGAGCUGAGGGUUGAACCAAAGAAUUUCAAGAUAUUUUUUGUACAUACGCCGAACAGGACCUACUACCUGGAAGAUCCAGAAGGCUAUGCCCUGGAGUGGUGUAAGGCCAUAGAGGACGUUCGGAUACACACGUAUGGUCUACAAUCGUAGAAGAUUAGUGUAGUGACUUGGAGUGCAAUCCGAAGGCUACAAAGACUCAACUUCGGGUUGUAUACCCUAGGCAAAUUUCAUUUGUGAUCUUUAAACUGUUUUUUAACUCUUGUUGGAAGUGUUGAAUGGUUACAUAAGAGUUUAAACAGAUGAAAAACUAUUUAAAGUGUUAGUGUACGAACACAGUGGAGAUUCCUUCAACGUGAGACUUUUUUAAGUGACUUUGGAGACUGCAGUUGACUGAGCAGCGUUAAUUUUUCAGUGCGAAUGAAUACACACGUGUGUGUGUGUGUGUGUGUGUGUGUGUGUGUGUGUGUGUGUGUGUGUGUGUGUGUGUGUGUGUGAUAGUAGUAAGACUGUUUUUUUUUAUUUUUAUUUAUACGUUUUCCUAAGUAGUGACUGGAGAGAAUGCAGAAGAUGACCAUUUUGUAUGUAUUGCUGUAGCAUAUGUGUUAAUUUAUUUACAUUUUAUAGUUAGCUGAACUGCAAUAACGAAAGAGGGCCUUCACAGUCUGUCACAGGUUUUUAUAAUGUUUGUGAUCUCCCUUCACUUUCACUAUUUAUGCUCUUGUUUACUUUUGUGACACAGUUUUGUGUUGGACACUGAAUAAUACAUUGUGGCAGAAGCCACCAACUGUCAGUAUUACUCUACUGUAUGUUAUUCGAGUGAAGAACUUUUUUGUUUAUUACUUCCUAACUCAAUUAAGGUUGUAUAUCUAGUUUUGUGCUGUGUCAGUAUACUGUCAUGUAAACAACUUAAUUUAUAAAUACAAUGUAUUCAAAUUUA